This 1522-nucleotide long non-coding RNA is filed under the name Triticum aestivum (bread wheat). Its description in RNAcentral is "long non-coding RNA (TAES_LNC018989)". The record is from RNAcentral. Lineage: Eukaryota; Viridiplantae; Streptophyta; Magnoliopsida; Poales; Poaceae.
AGAGGGCUUCACGGCGAGGCGACGGGCUCAAGCAAAACAAGUACGCUCUGUGUUCCAAUCUUGCUCUGUUUACUGAUUCCAAUCUUGCUCUGUAUACUGAUUACAAUCUUGCUCUGUGUUCUACGUUCUGAAAAUCACAUUAUUUCAAACAACAUCCUUUAAGAGUCUACCAAGGAACUCAAGUACCAAUUGAACGGGAGAGAUUUGCAUCAAAAUGACAUACAUGGAAGCCAGCGGAAAUUGUAAUAGCUGGCCUCCACGAACCAUAAUUUAUAUUUCAUAAAUUUGUUCUGCUUCAAAACAGCAAGUUUAUCUGAGAAUUUUAAGCUCUGCACGCUACCAGUACAUAAAACAGAGAUAAGAACAAAGAAGUUCAGUAAAUUUUGUAUUUUAAAGGACUGAGGAAAUAUAAUGGAAAUCCUUAUCCUUGCAUUUAUUCCUUAUUUGUAUCCCAAACAAUGGCCAAAGUCAGUCCUUUCAUUCUCCCUAUCCAUUACGAUGGAGUACAAGAAAACGGAUGACACUUCUUAACCAAGUAAAUAUGCUGAAUUGGCGCUCCUGGCUCCAUUGAAACUUUCAACAAAAGAUAUAACUUGAUACUUAAGGGAUACAUGGACUGAAGCAAUAGAAACCACAAAUUACCUUUAUUGCAGUCGCCAGUGCAUCAAGCAAAUUACCAUCAGAGCUAACCACAAGUCCAUGAAUGUACAGAUCCCAGCAGGAUUUCCCCUAAACAACAAUCAGAGAAAAUAAAUCGACUACAGCCCCUGAAAUAGUUAUUGGUAGCAAGUGAUGGUCUAUUAGCGGUCUUCUAGAAAGAAAACAAUAUAAAAACAUCAAAUGAUGAAAAUCCACCUUUGUUAAAGUUUUCUUGACUACGAGAAAGAAGAGGACAUCAGAAACAGAGUUGAAUUUGGUUAAAUCACUAAACUCCAAUUGGGACUGUAUCUUAAUCGUUAACACAAGUAAUUCACAAGCAGACACAACUUGGCAGGUGGGGAACCUAGAACUCGGCAGGGUUUCACUUUUUCUAUUUAUGAUAGAUUAUCGCAUCAGUGUCUAUUGGUGGAUAACCGCUCAAUGCUUCUACACCAAAAUUAACUUCAAAUUUGGCCAAUAACCGUCAAUUGCCUACAGAGUCCAACUUCCACGAUGAGCAAAAAUCAACACAUAGACACAUCCCAACAUGAGCAAUAAUCUACAAAGAGAGACGAACAAUGGCAAAAUCAGAUCACUUCUUCCAUGUGAGCAUCCAACCUAAAAUUCACAAAAAUUAUAUGGUUAUACGCCUGGAAUUUGAAAUAUGUUUUCACUCGAGCAAAGAACAACACACCAUGACAACACUAAUCUAAAUUCAGACACGCCUCUCGUUUUAACACUGAACCAAAUCAUCAGGAUUUGCUGUUCCACUCACAAACAGUACCAGAUUGAGAGGGGGGGGAGAUAGACCUGCGGGUCUAGCAGAGGUGAAGGGGAGGCUGAGUUUUAGAGGAGCGUGCCGAUGCCGACGAUGGUGGCGAGG